RNAcentral lists this long non-coding RNA (1059 nucleotides) under Gadus morhua (Atlantic cod). RNAcentral describes it as "lncRNA (ENSGMOG00000028719.1)". Lineage: Eukaryota; Metazoa; Chordata; Actinopteri; Gadiformes; Gadidae. The record is from RNAcentral.
ACCCCCUCUCUGCUGAUGAUGGGGUUUGGUGGGGGUUAGACAAUGUGUGUGUUUAUGUGUGUGUGUGUGUGUGUGUGUGUGUGUGUGUGUGUGUGUGUGUGUGUGUGUGUGUGUGUGUGUGUGUGUGUGUGUGUGUGUGUGUGUUUGCCAUCCAACAAUGUAGCUCUGAAAAUGAAAGCUUUUCCUCAUUAUAACUUUUUCACUCAAUGCCGAGCCCCCCCCCCCCUAAAGGAUGUAAAGGAUGCAGCGAUGUGAGACCUUCACCUCCACCUGUUCCUUUACCUCCCGCUCUGAAAGUCCCGAGCCCCCCUAAAGGAUGUAAAGGAUGCAGGUGAGAGCCCACAUAUCAUAACAGCCUCAUUGAGAGCUAUCAGGGCCAGAAAUUGUAAAGCUCUACUCCCUCCGUAUGUCCAAGCACCAUUUAGAGGCUGCAAUCCACAGACCUGUGAUUGAAAGGCAAGAUCAAUACCCAAACCAAGCAGGGAAGAGAUUCUCUAAUUUGUCAGUAAAUGAGCUUGCUGCAGUCUAAAAUCCAAAUACAUACAGAGGCUGGGGCAGUCAUCCCAAAACUAAUAUUCUCACAGCACAUUUACUCACAGGCUACAGCACAUUCAUGGAUGGGAAUUCAAUUUAAUGGGAACCACUGAUAGUCACAUUUGAUUUGUGGAUCAAAUGUGCCAAAUUUGGAUCAGCAUGGAAUACACUUCUUAUUUAAUGGUGUUCAUGCCUAAUUCUCCUUUAGCUGAAGUCUUUAUUCAAUGUUGUUUUUAUUAUAGUUUAUUUUGAUAUUUGCUGUGUUUUGUUAACAGGGGAUCUCUUAUCGAGAAAGUGAUGGCACGACAUUCUCAGACAUGGAAAAAGCAGCAAGAAAACUCUUCAAAUUUCAGGUACUAAAAACUAUUGUGUUUACGUUUGUGUAAUGAAAGAAACAUUGUAAAACAGCCAUAAAUGUGUCCUUUAUGUUUGCGUAAAACACAUGCAAAAUACAUUCACCGCAAACUUUUUCAGGUAGUGUUCUAGUAGUAUUAAAAGGUACAACCUUCUUGGCAUUAUGUAACU